Long non-coding RNA from Gasterosteus aculeatus aculeatus (three-spined stickleback), 1350 nucleotides. NCBI's taxonomy places the organism in Eukaryota, Metazoa, Chordata, Actinopteri, Perciformes, Gasterosteidae. The record is from Ensembl.
UUGUGUGAUUGACAGUUUAUGUCUGAGAUGUAUGCCGACACCCACGCACAAUGACUGAGUAGAAAUAUAUGGUAAUACACCAAGGAACUAUGAGACAGAGCUGAUCUAGCAUGGUGAUGUACCUUAAUACCUCCUCAUGAGAUACUUUUGUCAGACCUCUGGUCAGCAAGGUGUGUGAUAUUGUUACAGAGAACAAAGAUGUGGACGGAGAUGUGAACCGAACCUUCCAUCCUUCUGAUAAGGUGUGAAGAACCGUUUAAAGACAUCAAAGUUCUUUCUUUUCAAUGGUGCUAUGAAUCUGUGUGAUAUCUUUGUUUUGAUGUUUAAACAAGUUAAUAAUUCAUGACUUUGCCUAGUUGGGGACAUUUUGAGGGAUAAUGACUGGUCCAAUGAACCCUUACCUCUAAUGGUAAGGGUGUAAAGAUGCAGCUGUAGAAAAGGAUGAAGACAUGAGGGGACCGGAGCCCCACUGUGGCUCUCUGUGUGCUGCAGCUGUUCGGUGACUUCAUUUAUGGAAAGAACAAGAUGCAGAGGUCCCACCCUGGGUCUUAGUCAGUAGGUCAGUUCGCCAUGCUUCUGUCCAGACGUCCACUGUUUCCCUCCCUGAAAAAACAUUUUUUUCUUCUGGAAUAUCUUUGUGUAAAUACCAUUUCAUCCCUCCUCCCACUAUUUUGCUCCCCGUCUCUCUUUUUCUCCCUCCCUUCACCUUGGUCCUCUCACUCCUUCGUUAUCAAUGGCCCUCAUUCAUUCCAUCUCACCGUCUGCAUGCCUAUGUGCCCCCCACCACCAGCUCUCUAUUCAUUCCUUUGAUUUUUCUUGCCUGUAUCUUUCCACGAUCGUGGCUCCCACCCCUCCCAGGCAGCAGUUUCCUCCAACCUUCAGUGGAGUCCUAUCUCUCCUCCAUCUUUGGCUGCUUCAUUAUGGAUCUUGGUAGAUGCAAAUGGAGAUGUGGUUUGUCCGGCCAUAAGCCGUAUUCAUUGUUGGCCUUCACAAAGAGUGAAUUUGCUGUUCUCGUGUGUAUUUUGGGACUGGUUUGAUAGGGAUCUUAUCUGUUUAAUUGUGGUAAAUUGAUGUUUUAAGUGAAUACGUAUAAAUGUUACCUGCUCUUUAUAUUACGCUGCAGUGACUUGACUUCAUGACUCAGUGUAACAUAUUCUCCCAUCGUGGUUCAUGCUGUGUCAUCAGUCCUUCUAAACACCUUUUAUUAGACCAGCCAUCAUGUGCCAUCUGAGAAAAUUACCUUCUAACAGUGAGUAAUUCGGCUAAAUAGAGCAAAUCCUCGAGUUCUCCUAUUGCUAUUUUAACGUCAAAGGGUGAGGAAGCUAUCUUCAAACUCCCCACCCAAAAAAA